RNAcentral lists this ribosomal RNA (253 nucleotides) under uncultured bacterium. RNAcentral's name for it is "partial 16S ribosomal RNA". It matches the Rfam family "Bacterial small subunit ribosomal RNA", at positions 524 to 776 of the family's 1533-position model. The record is from RNAcentral.
UACGGAGGGAGCUAGCGUUGUUCGGAAUUACUGGGCGUAAAGCGCGCGUAGGCGGCGAACCAAGUCAGGGGUGAAAUCCCGGGGCUCAACCCCGGAACUGCCUUUGAAACUAGUUUGCUAGAAUCUUGGAGAGGUCAGUGGAAUUCCGAGUGUAGAGGUGAAAUUCGUAGAUAUUCGGAAGAACACCAGUGGCGAAGGCGACUGACUGGACAAGUAUUGACGCUGAGGUGCGAAAGCGUGGGGAGCAAACAGG